Molecule: transfer RNA, 87 nt
Filed under: Bacteriophage sp.
Description: tRNA-Ser
Rfam family: tRNA
About the family: Transfer RNA (tRNA) molecules are approximately 80 nucleotides in length.
Source: RNAcentral
GGAGAGUUGGCUGAGUGGUUGAAAGCGGCACCCUGCUAAGGUGCUGAUCGUUUAAUCGAUUCGCAGGUUCGAAUCCUGCACUCUCCG